This 1469-nucleotide ribosomal RNA is filed under the name Vibrio natriegens. Its description in RNAcentral is "bacterial SSU rRNA". It matches the Rfam family "Bacterial small subunit ribosomal RNA". The record is from RNAcentral. Lineage: Bacteria; Pseudomonadati; Pseudomonadota; Gammaproteobacteria; Vibrionales; Vibrionaceae.
GGCCUAACACAUGCAAGUCGAGCGGAAACGAGUUAUCUGAACCUUCGGGGGACGUUAACGGCGUCGAGCGGCGGACGGGUGAGUAAUGCCUAGGAAAUUGCCCUGAUGUGGGGGAUAACCAUUGGAAACGAUGGCUAAUACCGCAUGAUGCCUACGGGCCAAAGAGGGGGACCUUCGGGCCUCUCGCGUCAGGAUAUGCCUAGGUGGGAUUAGCUAGUUGGUGAGGUAAGGGCUCACCAAGGCGACGAUCCCUAGCUGGUCUGAGAGGAUGAUCAGCCACACUGGAACUGAGACACGGUCCAGACUCCUACGGGAGGCAGCAGUGGGGAAUAUUGCACAAUGGGCGCAAGCCUGAUGCAGCCAUGCCGCGUGUGUGAAGAAGGCCUUCGGGUUGUAAAGCACUUUCAGUCGUGAGGAAGGUAGUGUAGUUAAUAGCUGCAUUAUUUGACGUUAGCGACAGAAGAAGCACCGGCUAACUCCGUGCCAGCAGCCGCGGUAAUACGGAGGGUGCGAGCGUUAAUCGGAAUUACUGGGCGUAAAGCGCAUGCAGGUGGUUUGUUAAGUCAGAUGUGAAAGCCCGGGGCUCAACCUCGGAAUAGCAUUUGAAACUGGCAGACUAGAGUACUGUAGAGGGGGGUAGAAUUUCAGGUGUAGCGGUGAAAUGCGUAGAGAUCUGAAGGAAUACCGGUGGCGAAGGCGGCCCCCUGGACAGAUACUGACACUCAGAUGCGAAAGCGUGGGGAGCAAACAGGAUUAGAUACCCUGGUAGUCCACGCCGUAAACGAUGUCUACUUGGAGGUUGUGGCCUUGAGCCGUGGCUUUCGGAGCUAACGCGUUAAGUAGACCGCCUGGGGAGUACGGUCGCAAGAUUAAAACUCAAAUGAAUUGACGGGGGCCCGCACAAGCGGUGGAGCAUGUGGUUUAAUUCGAUGCAACGCGAAGAACCUUACCUACUCUUGACAUCCAGAGAACUUUCCAGAGAUGGAUUGGUGCCUUCGGGAACUCUGAGACAGGUGCUGCAUGGCUGUCGUCAGCUCGUGUUGUGAAAUGUUGGGUUAAGUCCCGCAACGAGCGCAACCCUUAUCCUUGUUUGCCAGCGAGUAAUGUCGGGAACUCCAGGGAGACUGCCGGUGAUAAACCGGAGGAAGGUGGGGACGACGUCAAGUCAUCAUGGCCCUUACGAGUAGGGCUACACACGUGCUACAAUGGCGCAUACAGAGGGCGGCCAACUUGCGAAAGUGAGCGAAUCCCAAAAAGUGCGUCGUAGUCCGGAUUGGAGUCUGCAACUCGACUCCAUGAAGUCGGAAUCGCUAGUAAUCGUGGAUCAGAAUGCCACGGUGAAUACGUUCCCGGGCCUUGUACACACCGCCCGUCACACCAUGGGAGUGGGCUGCAAAAGAAGUAGGUAGUUUAACCUUCGGGGGGACGCUUACCACUUUGUGGUUCAUGACUGGGGUGAAGUCGUAACA